RNAcentral lists this ribosomal RNA (461 nucleotides) under uncultured bacterium. Its description in RNAcentral is "partial 16S ribosomal RNA". It matches the Rfam family "Bacterial small subunit ribosomal RNA", at positions 338 to 795 of the family's 1533-position model. The record is from RNAcentral.
CCUACGGGGUGCAGCAGUGAGGAAUAUUGGUCAAUGGGCGAGAGACUGAACCAGCCAAGUCGCGUGAGGGAAGACGGUCCUAUGGAUUGUAAACAUCUUUUGUCGGGGAGCAAAAAGGCCUCGUGAGGCCACAAGUGAGAGUACCCGAAGAAAAAGCAUCGGCUAACUGCGUGCCAGCAGCCGCGGUAAUACGUAGGGGGCAAGCGUUAUCCGGAUUUACUGGGUGUAAAGCGAGCGUAGACGGCAGCGCAAGUCUGGAGUGAAAUGCCGGGGCCCAACCCCAGAACUGCUCUGGAAACUGGGAAGCGGGAGUGCAGUAGAGGUGAGCGGAAUUCCUGGUGUAGCGGUGGAAUGCGUAGAUAUCAGGAGGAACACCGGCGGCGAAGGCGGCUUACUGGACUGUAACUGACGUUGAGGCUCGAAGGCGUGGGGAGCAAACAGGAUUAGAUACCCUAGUAGUC